RNAcentral lists this ribosomal RNA (497 nucleotides) under uncultured bacterium. RNAcentral's name for it is "partial 16S ribosomal RNA". It matches the Rfam family "Bacterial small subunit ribosomal RNA", at positions 28 to 507 of the family's 1533-position model. The record is from RNAcentral.
GAUGAACGCUGGCGGCGUGCCUAAUACAUGCAAGUCGAGCGAACAGACGAGGAGCUUGCUCCUUCGACGUUAGCGGCGGACGGGUGAGUAACACGUAGGUAACCUACCUAUAAGACUGGGAUAACUUCGGGAAACCGGAGCUAAUACCGGAUAAUAUUUCGAACCGCAUGGUUCGAUAGUGAAAGAUGGCUUUGCUAUCACUUAUAGAUGGACCUGCGCCGUAUUAGCUAGUUGGUAAGGUAACGGCUUACCAAGGCAACGAUACGUAGCCGACCUGAGAGGGUGAUCGGCCACACUGGAACUGAGACACGGCCCAGACUCCUACGGGAGGCAGCAGUAGGGAAUCUUCCGCAAUGGGCGAAAGCCUGACGGAGCAACGCCGCGUGAGUGAUGAAGGUCUUCGGAUCGUAAAACUCUGUUAUUAGGGAAGAACAAACGUGUAAGUAACUGUGCACGUCUUGACGGUACCUAAUCAGAAAGCCACGGCUAACUACGUG